This 422-nucleotide ribosomal RNA is filed under the name uncultured bacterium. Its description in RNAcentral is "bacterial SSU rRNA". It matches the Rfam family "Bacterial small subunit ribosomal RNA", at positions 355 to 774 of the family's 1533-position model. The record is from RNAcentral.
UGAGGAAUAUUGGUCAAUGGACGGAAGUCUGAACCAGCCAUGCCGCGUGAAGGAUGAAGGCGUUCUGCGUUGUAAACUUCUUUUAUCUGGGAAGAAACCACAGAUUUCUAUUUGUGUUGACGGUACCAGAAGAAUAAGCACCGGCUAACUCCGUGCCAGCAGCCGCGGUAAUACGGAGGGUGCGAGCGUUAUCCGGAUUUACUGGGCUUAAAUGGUGCGUAGGCGGGCUAUUAAGUCAGAGGUGAAAUCUCCGGGCUCAACCUGGAAACUGCCUUUGAUACUAUUAGCCUUGAAUUAUGUUGAGGUUGGCGGAAUAUAACAUGUAGCGGUGAAAUGCUUAGAUAUGUUAUGGAACACCGAUUGCGAAGGCAGCUGGCUAAACAUAUAUUGACGCUGAUGCACGAAAGCGUGGGUAGCGAACA